CCGUGAGUGAUUUGAACGGAGGUUUUGGAAGAUUUGGGGGACUCCAUCUAGAGGACUGCAGAAAGCACAUUCAGACGUGAUUGUCUCCCAGAAGAGAAACCGUGAAAAGGGCCUAGACCAGACUGGGCUGGACACACAUCGUGUAUACGCAAUAUCCUGAACUGGACUGAUCUUGGGCCAUUCUGUAUUUCUGUAGUUGUCCUGCCGUCCACACACAGCAAGACCAUGGCCUUGGUAAGUUCCACCAAAGGAAAGUUCCCAUUGCCAGUCAUCCUGGAAGAAAGAUUAUCCUGGGGCAGAAACUGAGGACUCAGGAUGUGGGCCUUUGGGGUGACAGAGAAGUUCUCUCCCUCUCUCUCUCUCUCUCUCUCUCUCUCUCCUGAUUCUAGUCUGCCCUACGAGUGAAGACAUGCUCCAUGCAGCUCUAGAAGUGGAGCUGAGCUGGACCCUGCCAUGUGGAGCAAGCUGGGCCUGGAUAGGUCUAUAACAUGCUCCCUUAUCUCAGAGUGCACGAGCAAGACCAAGGGCUCCAGCUGGAGGUUGUUGAUUGGAAAGAAAGGGAAGAAACCCCAUUGUGCACUGUGACAUCGACCACUCUAUGCUGUGCAGAGAGUCCCACUGAAGAAUAUUCAGGCCCUGGAGGGACCACUAGAGUUUCUGCUACUGGAGGGCAGGGGCUCUGCCUUACAGGUGCGGAUGUUCCAGCCCGGAGAGGCCCUUAGCGACCGUCAAGUUCAGCCCCGAUAGGGAAAGGAGCUUGUGCAAGACCCCAUGGUCGGCAGGCCCUGAGAUGAUGGGAUCCCGCUUCACACUGCUGCAUAUCUGCACCCAGCACAAGGCCUUGCACAUGGUUGGCUCUCAAAAAUUUGUGAUGAAUGCAUGGGUGAAGGCAUGAACAGACCAGCCAAACCCUGGGGACGGUUCUCCUGCCUCUCAGGCAAGGCCUUGACCUUGCCUUGCCUCUCAAAGAGCUGCUCUGACUGGGGAUUGAGGCCAAACCAAGGGCCAAGCGGGCAGCUAAGCCCCUCACCAGCUUCGCCUCGGCAUCCUCAUCAUCUCACAUGGUCUGCCUUUGCGGAGAAGAUGCACAAAGGAAGUUGCCCAGUGAAUGGAUUUGUCGAAUGGGUGUGUGAAUAAGAUAUUCUGUCCUUCUGGCUAUCUCUCCACUUGGAGAGCGUGAAGGGAAGUUGUCUUCACCUGGAUCUCCCUAAAGCAGGAUUUGGUGGUAAUUAUUCAUUUAGGAGAUGAGCCACGGAAUUCAAGGUGAGAGAGAGGGUAUGCGAGACAGGGAAGGCAGGUAAGUCACCUCUUUAUUAAGGGAUAUCUUGCUGAGCAGGUUAUCCUUCUGGGCAACAGGGGCUCAGUCCCACUGGGGACCUUCUGAGGGACCAAGAAUCUGUUAUCCAUCAAUAAUUGUUCCUUAGUGAGUGAGGUUUAAACCUGGGGCUAUUGAUUUUCUACACUCUCAGCCUGCCCCAUGCUCCUGCUAUUAGGGAAAGCCCUCAGGUAGAGAGAGGCAGUCUGGGAGCGCAUAAAAAGGUCUACCACAGCUGUCGGUGACCUCCAGGGUGGGCCAUGGGAAUCUGGGCAGGACACUGACAGUGCCUGCUGGAGGAGUGUCUGGACGGUCAUGUCCAGCCCAUCACCACCAAUGCAGGCUGUCUGCAGGUGCAGUGUACCCAGAAGGCAGCAAAGCUAUCUGAUGGGCACAGCCUGAGCCUGUGACCCUGGCCUCACCCUAGCCAGGUAUCUUCCUACAAAUGUUUCCGGAAGGCCCUGUUGAGUUGAUGGUCCCAACUGCUCUAAGGGGCUGGUGGAUGAUUAUGAGAAAGCACUUCCUCCUUUUAUGUGUCCUCGAGGGGGUGGGGAAGUCAGGCACCAACUGGGUGUUGAUGCCUGUCACUAACUCACUGGAUGACCCUGAACAAAUCACUUGCCCUCUCUGGGCCUUAGGUGGCUUAUCUAAUAAUAAUAAUUGAAAGUCAUUAUGGCUUCAAUGAGUUUCUCAGUUUAUAAAUGGUAUUUAUUCUUUGGGAGUUUCAUAGCUUCCCUAUAGACUCAAGGCUGGUAAUCUUUUUUAAUGUUUAUUUAUUUAUUUUGAGAGAGAAAGUGCAUGCAGGGUCGGGGGGGGCGGUGCAGAGAGAGAGAGA
Neofelis nebulosa (Clouded leopard) is the source of this 2150-nucleotide long non-coding RNA. RefSeq lists it as uncharacterized. The transcript has 3 exons. The record is from RefSeq and is a predicted model, not a curated record. Lineage: Eukaryota; Metazoa; Chordata; Mammalia; Carnivora; Felidae.